CUGUGAAAAGACCAACAGCUGUUACUGAGCUAAGAAGAACUAAAGGAUUUACAGUAGGUGGUACCACCUUACCUAAACCAGAGAGGAGAAUUAGAGUCCAGUCUCCAUGGCCCAAUGCAGGACGCUCUGACAGACAAGCCAUACUCUGAAGUGUGACACUGACUGGACAACAUGGAGCAAAAACAUGUUCAAGCCAUUGCUCAGUCAUCUGUUUCUCAAGCCAGAAAAUAUAGAAAACUGAGGAAUUAGAUUGAUGCGGUCCCAUUUUAUAAAACCAAUUAAAGCCUUUUAGUAAUUUUGGAUUUCCAGUAAAGUUUGGAUUUACAAUUUA
Molecule: long non-coding RNA, 331 nt
Organism: Suricata suricatta (meerkat)
Lineage: Eukaryota; Metazoa; Chordata; Mammalia; Carnivora; Herpestidae
Exons: 4
Source: RefSeq, a predicted model, not a curated record